Molecule: long non-coding RNA, 8533 nt
Organism: Betta splendens (Siamese fighting fish)
Lineage: Eukaryota; Metazoa; Chordata; Actinopteri; Anabantiformes; Osphronemidae
Exons: 3
Source: RefSeq, a predicted model, not a curated record
UGUACGUAUGUUUUGGGGAAACAGUCUUAAUUUCUACAGUAUUGGCUUAAUUGUGUUUUUUUAAAUGUUUAUUUUGUAAAGAUAUAAUUUGUUUUUUUGCUGUUGUUUUCCCAUGGAAACUGAUGCUUUGUGUUGCAUUCUAAAUUUACAGUCAAAACAGUUAAUAACAAAAAUGAUUUUUAGACAUGAGUUGAAGCAUAUUGGAAAAUGUGUAUUUCAUGACUAACAAUGCUGGACAGCUAACACACACACAGGACCCGUACCACCAUCAGCCUCUCUCUGAGUGCUCUAGCCAAAUAAGGUGUUGUUUUACUUGGACCAUGCCUCUACCAGACCACAGCAGCCACUGGACAACAUUCCUAAGAAUGAUGAGUUUACUGUCAUGUACAAUGACGUCAGGAAGCAGGUGCUCAAUCGCAAAUUAAGUAAUGGAUUUUUUAUUUUCCUUUCCAGACAUAUAUCGACUGAAAUCAAGCCUUCUGGUUAAAUUGUCCUUAAGAUGAAAUACAAAACACACCCAUUUUCUCGUUUCUCUUAAUGUGAGCGAAAAACAGAAUUUAAUCAAAGCACUGUGUUAAAAACAAAUAAACGAGCUGAAAACAGUGUUUUCAAAACUCGACCCGGAAUUGGAUUUAAAACCGUUUCCCGAUUUCUUGUUUUGAGGAAAAAACGGAAAACACGAAGACGGCUCGUUUUCUGGUUUUCCCGGCUUUUAUUCUGGAGGGGGAAAACAAACUAUUAAAAUAUACACAGACCUUUUCUCGUUUCUCUUCAUGAAAGUGACAGACAUCAUUUAAUCGAAGCAGCGUGUUAAAAACAAAUGAAACAUGCCGAAAACGAUGUUUUCAAAACCAGACAAAUAAAUGGAUUUAAAGCCAUUUCCCGUUUUCUUGUUUUCAGGAAAAAACGGAAAACGAGAAAACAACUCAUUUUCAUUGUUUAGCCUUGUUUCUAUCGAGCUGCUGAUCCUGCCACUUGGGACAUGCAACACCUGCAUCAAUGUGCUUCAAGUACCAAAGCUGAUUAAGACAAGGCUGAUGGCUUUUGAAUAACCAACAGCUCAUGUAGACGUUUAGGUCACACAAUGUGAUAGUAAUAGAGGAAAAACAGCCUCAAGACCAAAAAACAAACUGGAAGUGACACUUAAAGGACAACUAGCCGUUGAAGAUUGAAGAAUAAGAGAUGGAUUCAGUUUUUCCUGUCGCUCAGUCAUUGGGACUCUGCUGUUCUUUGUAUUUCUGGUUGUCGCCUCAUUUAAUUCGUAGUUGCUGGAGUCAUGGACCUCUCCUCACCUUGUGUGUUUGCCUGGACAUAGGCUCUGAGUAGAGGAGGUCAGAUCAGUUCUGUUUGGCAUCAGAAGUCCAUUAGCUUGUUUUAGCUUGUUUGUUACCUCAGCUCCACUGGAGCUUCAAUGGAAUUGGACAGAAUUCUAUAGUUUGCAGUGGCCAAAACAAAAACAAGACAAAACAGGACAAAACAACAAUAUAAGUAUUAAAGGGCUCAUAUCAUGCAAAAUCCACUUUUUAGACAUUUUGGAGAGUUCCUAUGACUCUAUGGGUCACAUAUACACACACUGAGCACGGUAGAAAUACAUUUCCUGCUUUUUUCACAUUUUGAAAACGUAGAUUUUCUCACCCAAUGAAGAGAGAGAUCUACUACUCUGAGACCGUGCCCCAUGUGUCGUCACACUGGUAGGAACAUCUCCUUGCAAAUCCUGAACCACCACCCCCACAAUGAUCCCGAACCAAAACUGGACUUCCGCCAUUUCCCCCCUCUCACUCACCGUGAACAGACGAGCACGGCAGCGUUCAAGUCCUCCCAUAGAAAUAGUUUGGUUCUUAGGUGUUCUAACCAACACCAAAGUCUAUUCACUUUAACAAGGGAUCAACAAGUGAGGACUUUGUGGGUCACUUUUAUUUUUAACGGACCGGUGCCAGAAACACUGCCUCAGCAUUUAUACGUAUGUGCAUUUCAAACGAGGGUGCGUACAAUGCUGGAUUUGUUUCACGGCUCCUGUUGGAAAAAAGAACCUAUUCCUAAAGUCCGUCAUCCACUCACUGAAGGAGCCACAUCCCAGUUACCUACAUGCAAGGAGGCUGUCAAACAGAGAAAUCACUGCAGACUGUUGGUACACGGACAUCUGCUGCCCAGCUUAGGAGUAAAGUACCUUUUGUUUUGAUGAGGUGAUGGUGAGGACAGCCACAGCUUCCAUCUGGUAGAGGACUGCUUCCGCUCAGUCUUCCAAAUAGUGAUGAGAACAAGGAUCACCACAUCUCCCUGUUUACCCUACUUUCAUGCAUUUCGUCUGCAAGGCCCUGCAAAAGCUUCUGUCCUCAAACCCCCAGACUUCUUAAUUAACUCAGUAACCUAUACAUUGCACAUUGGAGUGUGAAGGUAACAGUUUGUUCUAGCUUUGGAGUAGUGGUGCAUUUUUUUGGUUUACAAUAAAGUUGGCUUUAACUUAUGUAUUUCACUGAACUCUGUUUCUGAAAACACUUUUAUUCAGGAAAUCAUAGUAUUGAAAUUACAUGUUUUUUCUCUUUCUAACAUGGUAAGCUAUAAAGUUGAAGCGGCCAUAAAUAAAAAGCAUAUGAAUUAUAUAUAAAUUAAAAAAAAAUCUAAAAAUGAGUAUUGCACUCACAAAAAACACAUUUUUACUCAAAUGGUAAAGGAGUUAUUCCACAGGUGGUUUACUGUACAUCCAUCAUACAAUGAGUGUUUUAGUGUUUUAUCCAUCAGGAAACUCUGCCUUCAUCUACAACCCAAGCAUGAAGAGAUGGCAACUCAGAUUCUUCACCCCAGGAAUCCUCAGCACCAGCCCACUAGCCUCUGUAGACUAGAUACCUGUAACAACUUCAGAUACAGAGACAUAUUACUGUCAGAUUUAUCAAGAAUGACAAAAAACAUAAUUAAAAGCAGUAGAAAUACGUUAGGUCAAUAUAUAAUUUGAACCAAUGCUUUUUGUUCCCAGGAAGGUCAUGCAGUGAUUGCUCUAAAUAUUAAUGCACAUUUUUAAAUAAAAUUAUGUCAGAGCAGCAGCACAAGUAAGACAAAACAGUGAAAUGUGUAAAUGUAAAAUGUAUUUAUAUUAUUUCAGCUAUGCUCUCAAACUUAUUUAUUUGUAUAAUGUGAGCUAAAGUAGUGUUUUCUAUUAACGAGAGUUUUCCAGGUAAGUCGUGUUGUGAAUAUUGAAGCUGCACACGCCAUUUAGCAUACGCAUUAGCAACUGCUAGUUGCUUUGCAAAUUACAUAAAUCAAUUAAAUUGAAGUAAAUGCGACAUUACCAAUGAGACACAUCUUGCAUCAGCCGAAAUGUGGCGACUUCAACAGCCUCCUCUUCAGCUUCAGGGUCAGAUUCGGGAUCGUAGACGUAUGGUUCCACUACGCUACGAACUAGCUGGCUGGCUAAUGUCGUGCAGUCCUGUAGUGGGUCUUCUUCUUCUGUGGAGGAUUGCGUUCUCAAUGUCGCACUACUGCCACCUAUUGUAUCGUAACCGUGCGGUGGCUCGUAUCCAUGGAGCCAAUUUAAAAAAAAAAAAAAACAAUAACAAAAAAGAUAUGCGCUUCCGCACAGAGGUGUGGUGAGCAGCUUCGCUUGCGACACGCCCAGAAAACACAGCGUUUGCUGAUGGGGAGUGAGAACCACAUAUUGACAGGGGCAGUGUGGACGAUCUAAAGGGUUUUAUGGGAUGAAAAUUUACAGAGACCUUACUGAGACAUUAAAGUCUAAUAUUUUUUAGAAUGAAAAGUAUGAUAUGUGUCCUUUAACUGUGCAAAAAUUAGGCACUAAUGAAUUCCUUGCUUCCAGGAACCUGUCCGCUUGGUCCAAGCAGCUUGUGUGGGUGGAAUACGCCCACAACACUCCCAUGCUCAUCCACGGGUCUCUCAGCAUUUCAGUGUGUGUACGGGUUCGAGCCACCGCUGUUCCUGGCGCUGGAGGAGGAAGCUCGAGUCCCAUCAUUGGACGAUGUCAGCAAACCUGGCGGCAGGCACGACAGGUAAUGUUGCGGGUGCAAGCAGAGAGAAGGUGGCAGCAGACUGCAAGCGGUCGGCCGAACCUCCGUAUGCGGUUGGGGACAAAGUUUGGUUGUCCACUAAGGACUGCCUCCGAGGGUCAUUGACGAGGGUCCCACAUAUACGGUCAGAGCUCUCCUGGCUUGUCAACAACAAGGUUGAGAAAGGCAGUUCCUGGUCGACUGCGAGGGGUACUGUCUGGAUGAACGGUCAUAGGUUCCGGCACGAGACAUUCUCGACACCAACCUCAUAAAGGACCUUCACCGAGCUCAUCCAGACCUCAGCCGGCUCCUGUGGCCUUCCACCGGCCUCCCUCCGCCCACCCUGGCUGGAAGGUGGUGGUUCCUUUGGGCGCCUGGGACGUCGCCCUUGCGGUGAGGGUUCUGUCAUGCUUUCACGUGUUUCAAUUUAAUUUGCGGUUUUAUUGUUUUGUAUUUCCGUUUCUGUGCAGUCCAUGCCCUGCUCUAACAUUACUUCCGGUUUCAAUCAGAUCAGCUGUCUGUAAUUAGUAAUCAUGCCUCAGGACGCGAUGCUGUGAGAGAGCGCGAGAACAGCACGAGAAAUUCAACAAGGCGGCGCGAAACAGGUAGUAAACAACAGCGCGACAAACUAUCCGCCAAUUUAAAUAAAUAAAUAACUACCUUAUUUUACGGAAAAUAAUAAACCACCCUAACAUUCUGGAUAACACCGAAGAAAGUUUCGAGUACAUCGACGAGUGCUUCGAGCGUCUGGUAAUGGGGAAAAAGGAGACGGCUCCCAGCAAGCGUUCCCGUCCGUCUGACUCACCUGAGUCACCUGGAGCUAGCUCGGCGGAUAAAAACAUCACGGACAUCCUGGAGUCCAUAGAGAAAAAACUAUCAAGCUUCGACGCGUGUCUGGCACUAGUGGAACUCCUCCACAAAGAGUUUAUGGCCCUUCGCGAUUCCCUGAAAUUCAGCCAGCAGCAGGUGGUUUCUCUCGCCACCGAGAAUGAGGCCCUGAAGGGAACGGUGCAGUCCCUGACGGAGGAUGUGGCUCAGCCAGCGGCCGAAAAUAAAAAAAUAAAAGAAGGCAUCAUUGAUCUGCAGGCCAGCAGCAUGAGGGACAACCUGGUGUUCUCGGGGAUUCCAGAGCAGGCGGAGGAAAACACGGAAACCACCGUUAAAAACUUCCUUAAACAAAAGAUGAAUAUUCCAGCGGAAGUUGUGGACAAGAUGGCGUUCCACCGUUCGCACAGACUCGGAGGAAGACGACCGGAUGGCCAGCGCCCUUGACCCAUUGUUGCCAAGUUUCAUGACUUUAAGCAGAAGGAACUGGUUCUUCAGCAGACAGCUGAAGGGAACCGACUACAGCGUCAACAAUCAGUUCCCCAAGGAGAUCCUCGACCGCCGCCGCCGACUGUUCCCCAUCCGUAAGAGGUUCAUGGCAGAAGGCUGCAGGGCUGUCAUCAGCGUCGACAAACUGUACGUCAACGGAGAGCUCUACCAGGACCGGGAAGCAACUCCGUGGCUGUACUAGCAGGUGGUAUGUAAAAAAUGCUUUAAUAUAAAAGGUUUGUUAAAAAAAUAAUAGAUGCAAUGCAACUAUGUGUUAUAACCUUACAUCCAGUAUUCAAACUCGUUCGCUCGCAGAUGUUUCAUGUAAAUGUUUAUUGUGAUUCUAAUGUCACUCACUCACUCACUUUGCAAAGCGCUCAUCAUACUUAAUCACUCACUUUCCUUUCACUUUAAUUUUCCUUCCCUUUAUUCUUUUUCCUUCACCUACUUUCACUCCACACUGUCUACAUCCUUUUCUCUAUUCUUCUUCCACAUAGUCAGCCAGCUAUGUAGCCCUCCAGCAGCCACACACAAACAUCUACUGCACAAGGGAAACACGUGCCCAUACAUAGAUAACACACAACUCAGAAUACACAGGUACUUAAGGUUAGCCACACACCUACAGUCAUAGCACUUCAAAGCGACCACCUUUUUUACCGCAGUACGUGCGUGUCGCCAGCACGCCACGGGUGCGUCCCCGACUAAGGAUUUUUAAUCCUGCAGCCAGCUGAAAAAAAUCAGGGUGCUAGUCUUAUGUUAACCACCAGGUGGCGCAAAGAUGUGAGGUCCUACUGUUCAUUUCUAUCUGUGUCUGCGCAUUAAGCACAAAAAACGAUGUCAUGGUAUUGUAUCAUUAAAUGUAGAGUAGUUCAUUUUUAAAUAUUAUAGAUUAUUAUGCGUCUUUGCUCGCUAGUGUGGGCUAGUGUUUGUUGUCAAUUGCCGAAGCUGCUGAUGUUUUCACAGUUUCCAGGCCAGCCGAGAGACACAGUCCCUCCUCCAGCCAAUCCAAUAGAAUAAUAUAAGUAUAAUAACAUAAAAUAGGAAUCUAUAUUUAUUCAUCAAUCUGUGUUAUAAAUGUAAUUUAUAUGUAUACCUGUACUCGUCUUCUGGUUUGUUGAUCAUGAGGAAAAAACACAAAACAAACUUGGUUUUCGUUUCAGCUCGUAAUAUUAAUUAACGGAAUUCAGGUGUUGUUGUUUUUUCGACACAACGCACGGAAAUGGAUUUAAAGCUGAUUUUUCGUUUUGAGAAAAAAGCAGAGAACGAAAAACUAAGUCGUUGUCUUGUUAUAGCAGCUUUUAAGUUUAACCAAACUCUUAAAAUUUACUCAGACCGCAAUGACCUAUAGUUUGCCAUGAUUCUGAAUGAAACGUAAGAGCCUGAAUGACAGAUCAUUUGUCCAGAUAGAGCUUAACCGGAAAUGUAUGCUUGUCAAAUGCAGGCAACAAGAGAAUCGGGGAAGUGGCGUCACCGUCUGAAGCAGACAGUGAUGUGACGUUCCAACGAUGGUGCUGAGGAGCCACUUAUUCAUAGGCAGAUGACUUGGAUCAAGUUGUCAAUACGCGCUAGUGCUUUUUGUCAGUUGCUGAUGUCGCUGCUGUCUUUAUACAGUAUGUCUUCGUGUUUAAGUGUCGGGUCCGUGUACGUUUUAACAGUUUGAUUUUCCCCUCCAGAAUAAAAGCUGGAAAGACAAGAAAACACGUCGUUUUAGAACGUUUUAAACCUGGAGGACCUGUUAAUGUGUCUGGACACGCUCCCAGUAAGUCCAGUAACUUUGUAUUGUAACGAGAAAGCCCCACCAUCUCGUUUAAAAAGGACAAAUGGCAUUUAUUCAAAGCAGCGUGUUAAAAACGAAACGAGCUGAAAACGGUGUUUUCAAAACCAGACACAUUAAUGGAUUUAAAGCCGUUUCCCGUUUCGGGGAAAAACGAAUCGACUCUGGCAUUAGAGCAUUUUGCCAGAAUUUUUGCCAAUUUUUUAUUACACAGGCAAUACAGUGGAUUUGGAACUCGCUUCGCGCGAGUUACGGCGUCUGAUGUUGAUUCAGUUGCAAAGCAAACUUUAAACCCCAUCCCCUACUACGUAUUGGCACAGAGACAUUAACAUACUGUCUCCACUCAGUCAAUAGGUGUAAAAUACUUUAGAUCCGAGACAAAGAAGAACUCCAUAGGAGAUCGGGCAGCGUGAUCAGCUGCACCUAUGUAGCUGUGAGAGGCCAAAACCUUUCACUUGACUUUUUUAAAAGGCUCUUCUUAUGGUAUUUCACACAAGUCUGUCAGACUACAUCUGCUAACUUGUAGAGAAUAUCAUAUAAUAAAAAUAAAUAAAUUGUAAUAAUCUCUCUGAGGUAUGCCAGAACGCCAGGACUCCUGGGGGAUACCUGGGGAAUAAAAACGAUUCUGAUUCUGAAAGCGGCUGAUCAACUUAGCAGGAACACAUUUCAUGUGGUACAGGUGAAAGGGACACUAACAACCUAACGCAGCCGAGGCUGUAGCAGGCAGAGAAACGCAGAUCUUUGUCCUGCGUGUUGAUGCGCGUUUCCCCAUCCCCCAGUGUCCCCGUUCUGGGACGUGGAUGGCCCCGCCCACUUUCAUUAACCAGACGGACACGAAAGAGGAAAUAACGAAAUAAACAGCUGGUUAACUUUGUGAGAACAUGGCUGUAGCUCUGCAAUGACUUUAUGUGUUACAGGUGAAAGGAGUAAUAACGAAAUAAACGGAAUAUAAAAUGGAACGCUUUCAAGCGUUUUCUGUUCACCCAAACUUGAUGGGUGUACAGUCAUCUUUUCAGUAAUUUUUAGCAUUUGCAUGUUGUUGUGUAUGAAUAACGAAAUUAACAAAGUCUAUGUUUGAAAAAACUGUGAAGAGUUCCGUGUCUACAUGAAAGCGGGCAGAAACACGUCCGUCUAUGACUCACUGCCGAAAGCGGCUGGUGAACCUCUUGUGAACAUGGCUGUAGCUCUGCUAAAUAAUACAGACAGCCAGCCCUAUUAAUCAUUUGCUAUUUUCUUGUUUGCCAAAAUAUAAAAAUGUUCAGUAAUUACAACUUCUGCUUCCACCAGGAUUCGAACCCGGGGUAAAAAAUUGACACAUCAAGGCUGUUUAACAUAAUACAAGCCAUUAUACCACGGAGGCAUGAAUACACAUCUCUACAUGGGCCUAUAUAACAUAAGUAUAGGACAGCGUCAUAAAGGCCAGUGUGGGGGCUGAUCACCACCUAUAGGC